This 932-nucleotide long non-coding RNA is filed under the name Urocitellus parryii (Arctic ground squirrel). RNAcentral describes it as "lncRNA (ENSUPAG00010009553.1)". Lineage: Eukaryota; Metazoa; Chordata; Mammalia; Rodentia; Sciuridae. The record is from RNAcentral.
AUCUUGUGAGUCUUCGAACAGCGGGAGGUGGCAAACGUUGGCAGAACUGGGGCUGUUUCCUCCUUCGCACUUKGUUUUAAAACAAGUUGGGGCCUUGCGACUUCCCAAGAAAAUCCCGGCAAAUUUGCUACGAGUUGCUUGGGCCGCGACUUUUGAGAAGUAUUUUAACCCCAGCCGCUGAAGUCGUGGGGGAGUUCSUUUUCUCCGCGGGGCCGCGGUGCUCUCAGCCCGGGUGAGGCUGGCGCGCGGGUGGGAGGCCCGGGACGCGCUCUGGCGAUCACUGGGGCAGAGCAAGUUGCUCCAGGGGUGACUGCACUGGCCUGGGCGCGGGAGAGGGGGGCACUUGUCCUGCAAAGCUGCGUUUCAAUCCAGUCAUCUUUCCUCUUGUCUCCUGGUCUGACCCCGCAGUCCGCCACUGCCCGCGCUGGAGCACCGCGCCCUUGGCCACGGGAGCCCAAGUAAAAGGCUAGAUUCGAGGCAGCGGGCGGAGCCGGGACCAACGGGGCGGUGACUGAGCGGCGGGCCCCGCCCGGCCCCGCCCGCCGCACUCGGGCGCCUCUCUCAAGCCCGGCGGGACCAAGGGACUGACCGACCGACGCGGGCCACCCCGCUCUCCUCGCCGCCAAAGGCGGCGGGCGCGGGGCGGCGCGGAGAGGCCUGAUCCCUGCAGCACUGGCGCGCAGCGUUGCAGAGCRGAGCAAGCCAGACGCACCAGGACUCCUGCAGGUGAGAGUGGUUUCCCAGMGGRUGCUUGGCUUGUACAACCAGAGAACAGGAUUCUUCUCUUCUUUCUGGCCACUCAAUGCCUAUGUGCACUCCACGUUCCAAAGAGGGAAGAAGGGCGAAGCUUCUUGGAUGACAAUGGACGUUCUACUGUGCAGGAUGAGGGCAGAGUGUGUGACAUCGCCACCACAAGGGCUCCAACAGUCUGA